This 253-nucleotide ribosomal RNA is filed under the name uncultured bacterium. RNAcentral's name for it is "partial 16S ribosomal RNA". It matches the Rfam family "Bacterial small subunit ribosomal RNA", at positions 524 to 776 of the family's 1533-position model. The record is from RNAcentral.
UACGUAGGUCGCAAGCGUUGUCCGGAUUUACUGGGCGUAAAGAGCGCGCAGGCGGCUGAUCAAGUCCGACGUGAAAGCUCCCGGCUUAACUGGGAAAUUGCAUCGGAAACUGGUCGGCUUGAAGGUGGGAGAGGGUAGUGGAAUUCCCGGUGUAGUGGUGAAAUGCGUAGAUAUCGGGAGGAACACCAGUGGCGAAGGCGACUACCUGGCCCACUCUUGACGCUGAGGCGCGAAAGCUAGGGGAGCGAACGGG